AUUCUACUGGUACUUCUUGCAGCUGUUGGAAACAAAACAUAAUAAUAAUGAUAGAAGAAAUGCAACAAUGUCUUUGAUGACUUGAUUCAAUGGUGGAAGUAAGAGAAUUACUUUCUACUACAGAGUGUUUUAGAUUAAAUAUUGAAUUAAAUUCAUACUAUUAAUGCUGAUUCAUAGGUUGGAAAUGAAAUGUAUGAGUAAAUUGUCUCAGCAAACUAUUUAAUUCAGCAGUUAGCUCACAAACAAUGUUUUAAAAAAAAUAUAUGCAUCCAUCAUAAUUUCUCAAAAUAAUAAAAAUGCCAUUAAAUGUUUGAUCCACAACUUUGGCUUACCUUUCUCUCACAAGGAUAGUGUUCA
This is a non-coding RNA of Biomphalaria pfeifferi, 357 nucleotides long. The record is from the annotation of a GenBank genome assembly. Lineage: Eukaryota; Metazoa; Mollusca; Gastropoda; Planorbidae.